CCACUGGAUUGGAGGAGACCGGUGAACCCAAAGACAACCUACAUUCCCAGCAAAAUCCUACAUAAUCUAUCAUGCAAAUAUCACUUAUUCCAGCUAAUAAGUUGAGACGUGCAUUCAGUCCCAUGUGCCUGCAGCCCAUCUCACUUGUCAACCAGAAUCUCAACCAGAUUCCAAACCCCAUAAAGUUAGCCUGCAUCAGGGUUUUAACUGCAGGAGAGCUCCUGUUGACUCAUGUUCCCCUCCUGUCGCUGCCUGCUGAACAGCACCUGCCUGGGGUGCACGUGAGUGGGAGAGAAGUGCUGCAAUCUGACUUGCUUGGCAAUCAAAUGGAGUCCUGUAUUCCCUGCAUGUCCUUCCCUCCUUUAUUAUGGGAUUAAUGCCAGUCUCAUGCAUCAGGGUGUGUUCUGAGGACAAUGAAAUGGAGUGAAAGCGUCACUCUAAUAAGAGAAGCCCAGAAAAGAAACAGGAAUGUCUGAAGCCUGAGCACCUGAGCAAGAGUGGCUUUGAAUCCGCAUCCACAUGGGGAAAGGUUCUAUGCUACAAUCUGCUUAAGAAGAAAAAUAAAUGGAAGAAAUAGAAAAUGGUUUAUUGCUCUU
This 596-nucleotide long non-coding RNA is filed under the name Pavo cristatus (Indian peafowl). RNAcentral describes it as "lncRNA (ENSPSTG00000013942.1)". Lineage: Eukaryota; Metazoa; Chordata; Aves; Galliformes; Phasianidae. The record is from RNAcentral.